RNAcentral lists this non-coding RNA (28 nucleotides) under Rattus norvegicus (Norway rat). The record is from RNAcentral. Lineage: Eukaryota; Metazoa; Chordata; Mammalia; Rodentia; Muridae.
UGAGAAGAAAACACUCUCAGCUCUCCUC